CCCGGCAAAAAUAAGUGAACGUGUUUAUAAAGUAAAUGUUUUAAAAUCGGAGUGAAAGAGAGGAGUGAUGGUGCUGUAGGGCUGAAUUUACACUCCCAGAGCUGUUUAUUUAAUUGUUUACAUUUUAAUGUUUUACGUGGAUUUAUUUUAUUUUUUAAACGUGUGUUUUUGAGGCGCGCGCCGCGAGUUUGCGCAGUUUAUAAAAGCAAAGGUGUAGAAUGAGGUAGAGCUCAGAACACACAGCACAGGAACACACACUCUCUCACACACUCUCUCACACACUCUCUCACACACACACACACGGAAAAUAAGGAGCAGGCUUCUCACACACCGGAUUACAGUUCUGGAUGAAGAUGAAGAUGAGGAUGAAGACUGUGUGUGAAAUCUCUUAACUUCUCAGCAUCUGGAGCGGGUUUUCUGCACGCGCGCUUUGGAGGCUCUGUGUGGUGUAGAGGGACAGUGGUGUGAAUAUAAUGCCCAGUAAGAGUGUGAUAAACACACACGUCAAGAUCAAAACAGAUGAAGCUCCUAAAUCCAGCUCCGGACGGUCCAGGAAGAGGAAAGCAGACGUUGCUAUCCACUUACAAGAUCCGGACGAGGAAAUUACAGAGGUGCAGACGAGGAAGAAGCAGUGUCCAUCCCAGGAGACGUGUCGGGAUCAGACACCGACCUGCUCGCCGCAUCGGGUGGAUAAACAGGUUGGAGUUGGCAGCGUGGGAUUCCCACAGUACACCAGCAGGAAUGUUUUCGUCACCCCGACACGGCCCUCUCCCCUGCCUGCCCUGUGCUGGGCAAGUAAAGAGGACGUGUGGAACAACCUGCUGAAGAAAGACAAACUUUACCUCCACAACAUGCACGUGAUGGAGAGACAUCCCAACCUGCAGCCCAAAAUGAGGGCCAUACUGCUGGACUGGUUAAUCGAGGUGUGUGAGGUGUAUAAACUCCACAGAGAGACGUUUUAUUUGGGUCAGGAUUAUUUUGAUCGUUUCAUGUCCACUCAGAAGGACGUUCAGAAGUCCACUCUGCAGCUCAUUGGCAUUUCUGCCCUCUUCAUCGCUGCCAAGAUGGAGGAGAUUUAUCCACCUAAAGUGCACCAGUUUGCAUACGUGACGGACGGAGCGUGUACGGAGGAGGAGAUCCUCAGCAUGGAGGUCAUCAUCAUGAAGGAGCUGAACUGGAGUCUGAAUCCCUUAACUCCGGUGUCGUGGUUGAACAUCUACAUGCAGAUGGCGUAUCUAAAGGAGUUCACGGAAGUUCUUAUGCCACAGUUUCCUCAGGCCACAUUCGUUCAGAUUGCUGAGCUGCUGGAUUUGUGCGUCCUGGAUGUCAGGAGUUUGGAAUUCUCCUCCAGUCUUCUGGCAGCUUCAGCUCUGUUCCACUUCUCAUCUCUGGAGCUCAUCAUGAAGGUGUCUGGGCUGAAGUGGUGUGAUAUGGAGCGCUGUGUGAGGUGGAUGGUACCGUUUGCGAUGGCGAUACGUGAAGUUGGAAGCUCCACCUUAAAAAUGUUUAAAGGCAUUCCAGUAGAGAACACGCACAACAUCCAGAGCCACGCCCCCUACCUGGACUGGCUGGUGAGAUACACGGCAUCCUACACUCUCUCUCUCACACACACUUCUAGUUGAUAAUGGUUGUACACGAUGCUGAGCAUGGCCUGGGGUGGUGUAAAUCACUGACUGUGGAGGUGAGGAGGAGGAGGGAUGAUGGUUUCAGGCUCCUCAGUUCCAGUGAAGGUUGAUCUACAGGACAUACAGAGAUUUCACACAUCUGUGAUUUGGAACCUUUCCUGCUCCAUUAUGACCAUGUCCCUGUGCACAAAGCCCCUGAGCUCCAUGAAGACACGGUGUGGAGGUGAAGGUUGAAGUGGAGAGCUGGAGUGUCCUGGACAGAGCCCUGACCACCCACUGACCCCUCCAGACCUCCUCACUCUCAACACCAGAGACAGACACACUCCGAAAUCUAGUGGAGAACCUUCCUGAAGCCUGGAGCUGAUUAGAACAGCAGUCCAUGUUUAGUGGGACGAGUACAGUCGCAUCAGCUGGAGGAUUCGGAACACAGCCAGACCUCGCCCGUCCCGCCCGGAGUCCUGACUCCGCCCCCUAGCAGCGAGAAACCCGAGGACUCUUCGUCCUGAUGCUGCUCUGCUUCCGCCG
This is an RNA transcript of Hemibagrus wyckioides, 2150 nucleotides long. It is a transcript of the gene named cyclin E1, with no coding region annotated. The record is from RefSeq and is a predicted model, not a curated record. The transcript is spliced from 12 exons. Lineage: Eukaryota; Metazoa; Chordata; Actinopteri; Siluriformes; Bagridae.